RNAcentral lists this ribosomal RNA (431 nucleotides) under Aetana sp. Ind101. Its description in RNAcentral is "partial 16S ribosomal RNA". It matches the Rfam family "Bacterial large subunit ribosomal RNA", at positions 1816 to 2597 of the family's 2925-position model. Lineage: Eukaryota; Metazoa; Arthropoda; Arachnida; Araneae; Pholcidae. The record is from RNAcentral.
UUCUUUAAGCACAAAUAAUUUAAAGUAAAACCUGCUCAAUGUUAACAAAUAAAUAGCCGCAGUAUCACUGUGCUAAGGUAGCAUAAUCACUUGCUUUCUAAUUAAAAGAUAGAAUGAAAGGUUAAACGGUUAAUAACUAUAUAUUAAAAACAAAUAAAAUUAAUAUCCACGUAAAAAAGCAUGGUAUAAAUAAACAAGACGACAAGACCCUGCUAAACUCACAUAUUCGGUUGGGGCAACAAAUCAAUAAUAAUUUAAUUAUAAACAAUUACAUAUCAUUAUACAAUAAAAAGAUCAGUUACUACAGGGAUAACAGCGCAAUUUCUUUCUAGAGAUCACAUCCAAAAAGAAGAUUACGACCUCGAUGUUGAAUUAAUUAAACAAAACGGCGCAAAAUCCUAAUAGUUAGUCUGUUCGACUAUUUAAAAAUU